AUCCUGGAAGAGUAAUUGCUGACCUUAUUCACCGGCAGUGGGCCUUAUGGCACAGUGAAUCACCAGGUUAGAGACACGU
RNAcentral lists this small nucleolar RNA (79 nucleotides) under Chlorocebus sabaeus (green monkey). Its description in RNAcentral is "Small nucleolar RNA SNORA3/SNORA45 family (ENSCSAG00000027671.1)". Lineage: Eukaryota; Metazoa; Chordata; Mammalia; Primates; Cercopithecidae. The record is from RNAcentral.